This 404-nucleotide ribosomal RNA is filed under the name Fusobacteriota bacterium. RNAcentral describes it as "Fusobacteria bacterium partial 16S ribosomal RNA". It matches the Rfam family "Bacterial small subunit ribosomal RNA", at positions 355 to 776 of the family's 1533-position model. Lineage: Bacteria; Fusobacteriati; Fusobacteriota. The record is from RNAcentral.
UGGGGAAUAUUGCACAAUGGAGGGAACUCUGAUGCAGCGACGCCGCGUGAGUGAUGAAGGAAUUCGUUUCGUAAAACUCUGUUCUAUGGGAAGAAAAGGACUGUACCAUAGGAGAAAGCUCCGGCUAAAUACGUGCCAGCAGCCGCGGUAAUACGUAUGGAGCGAGUGUUGUCCGGAAUUAUUGGGCGUAAAGGGUGCGCAGGCGGCUUUACAAGUUGGAUGUGAAAUAUUGUGGCUCAACCACAAACGUGCAUCCAAAACUGCAAAGCUUGAGUUAAGGAGAGGUAAGUGGAAUUCCUGGUGUAGCGGUGGAAUGCGUAGAUAUCAGGAGGAAUACCGGUGGCGAAGGCGACUUACUGGACUUAACCUGACGCUCAGGCACGAAAGCGUGGGGAGCAAACAGG